GAUGAACGCUAGCGGCAGGCUUAAUACAUGCAAGUCGAACGGGAUUGAGAAGCUUGCUUUUCAUGAGAGUGGCGCACGGGUGCGUAACACGUAUGCAACCUACCUUGUCCAGGGGGAUAGCCCGUUGAAAGACGGAUUAAGACCGCAUAACAUUGAGAUGUGGCAUCACAAAUCAAUCAAAUAUUUAUAGGGACAAGAUGGGCAUGCGCCUGAUUAGGUAGUUGGCGGGGUAAUGGCCCACCAAGCCGACGAUCAGUAGGGGAUCUGAGAGGAUGACCCCCCACACUGGUACUGAGACACGGACCAGACUCCUACGGGAGGCAGCAGUAAGGAAUAUUGGUCAAUGGGCGAAAGCCUGAACCAGCCAUGCCGCGUGCAGGAAGACGGCCCUACGGGUUGUAAACUGCUUUUAUACGGGAAUAACCCCGGUUUCGUGAAACCGGCUGAAUGUACCGUAAGAAUAAGGAUCGGCUAACUCCGUGCCAGCAGCCGCGGUAA
This 498-nucleotide ribosomal RNA is filed under the name uncultured bacterium. RNAcentral describes it as "partial 16S ribosomal RNA". It matches the Rfam family "Bacterial small subunit ribosomal RNA", at positions 28 to 523 of the family's 1533-position model. The record is from RNAcentral.